This 481-nucleotide ribosomal RNA is filed under the name Escherichia coli. RNAcentral's name for it is "bacterial SSU rRNA". It matches the Rfam family "Bacterial small subunit ribosomal RNA", at positions 1064 to 1533 of the family's 1533-position model. Lineage: Bacteria; Pseudomonadati; Pseudomonadota; Gammaproteobacteria; Enterobacterales; Enterobacteriaceae. RNAcentral also lists the same sequence under 1 other name. The record is from RNAcentral.
GUUGUGAAAUGUUGGGUUAAGUCCCGCAACGAGCGCAACCCUUAUCCUUUGUUGCCAGCGGUCCGGCCGGGAACUCAAAGGAGACUGCCAGUGAUAAACUGGAGGAAGGUGGGGAUGACGUCAAGUCAUCAUGGCCCUUACGACCAGGGCUACACACGUGCUACAAUGGCGCAUACAAAGAGAAGCGACCUCGCGAGAGCAAGCGGACCUCAUAAAGUGCGUCGUAGUCCGGAUUGGAGUCUGCAACUCGACUCCAUGAAGUCGGAAUCGCUAGUAAUCGUGGAUCAGAAUGCCACGGUGAAUACGUUCCCGGGCCUUGUACACACCGCCCGUCACACCAUGGGAGUGGGUUGCAAAAGAAGUAGGUAGCUUAACCUUCGGGAGGGCGCUUACCACUUUGUGAUUCAUGACUGGGGUGAAGUCGUAACAAGGUAACCGUAGGGGAACCUGCGGUUGGAUCACCUCCUUACCUUAAAGAAGC